Molecule: microRNA, 22 nt
Filed under: Branchiostoma floridae (Florida lancelet)
Lineage: Eukaryota; Metazoa; Chordata; Leptocardii; Amphioxiformes; Branchiostomatidae
Also listed under: 2 other names
Description: bfl-miR-2062-3p
Source: miRBase by way of RNAcentral
ACUGGUGAAAUGUAGUUGCGUA